RNAcentral lists this non-coding RNA (45 nucleotides) under Schistosoma margrebowiei. Lineage: Eukaryota; Metazoa; Platyhelminthes; Trematoda; Strigeidida; Schistosomatidae. The record is from RNAcentral.
AUCCAGUUGAUGAGUCCCAAAUAGGACGAAACGUGCGUCCUGGAU